UGGUAUAUAGCUCAGUGGUAGAGCAACAGAUUGUUAAUCUGUGGGUCGUAGGUUCGAUACCUGCUAUGCCAG
RNAcentral lists this transfer RNA (72 nucleotides) under Bacteriophage sp. RNAcentral's name for it is "tRNA-Asn". It matches the Rfam family "tRNA". Rfam says of the family: Transfer RNA (tRNA) molecules are approximately 80 nucleotides in length. Their secondary structure includes four short double-helical elements and three loops (D, anti-codon, and T loops). The record is from RNAcentral.